This 497-nucleotide ribosomal RNA is filed under the name uncultured bacterium. RNAcentral's name for it is "partial 16S ribosomal RNA". It matches the Rfam family "Bacterial small subunit ribosomal RNA", at positions 28 to 507 of the family's 1533-position model. The record is from RNAcentral.
GAUGAACGCUGGCGGCGUGCCUAAUACAUGCAAGUCGAGCGAACAGACGAGGAGCUUGCUCCUCUGACGUUAGCGGAGGACGGGAGUGUAACACGUGGAUAACCUACCUAUAAGACUGGGAACACUUCGGGAAACCGGCGCUAAUACCGGAUAAUAUAUUGAACCGCAGGGUGCAAUAGUGAGAGACGGUUGUGCGGUAACUUAUAGAUGGAUCCGCGCCGCAUUAGCUGGUAGGUCAGGUAACGGCUUACCAAGGCGACGAUGCGUGGCCGACCUGAGGGGGUGAUCGGCCACCCUGGAACUGAGACACGGUCCAUACUCCUACGGGAGGCCGCAGUAGGCAAUCUUCCGCAAUGGGCGAAAGCCUGACGGAGCAACGCCGCGUGAGUGAUGAAGGUCUUCGGAUCGUAAAACUCUGUUAUUAGGGAAGAACAAAUGUGUAAGUAACUAUGCACGUCUUGACGGUACCGAAUCAGAAAGCCACGGCUAACUACGUG